Molecule: long non-coding RNA, 1843 nt
Organism: Glycine soja
Lineage: Eukaryota; Viridiplantae; Streptophyta; Magnoliopsida; Fabales; Fabaceae
Exons: 5
Source: RefSeq, a predicted model, not a curated record
UCCAGGUGUCUUCUUUUUCGGUCUUCAUCCCGAGCCUUUUUGCUUUUCUUUUUAUCUUUCUAUUUCUCUAUCUCCCGUGCUUUCUAGAGCUGGUGCAGCUCCUUUUUUAUUUAUUUAUAUUUUAUUUUAUUUAUUCAUUGAUUGAUUUUUAUCUAACAAACAACGCAAAGGCUCUUCUCUCUUUCUCUCUCACUCACUUUCUUUCUCUAUACAACUUGGAAGCUUUCUCUCUCUCAAAGCAGCAAGGUCCUCCACCACCACCACCUCCAAUCUCCCUCUUUCACACAGAGAGAGAUACUGUGUGUUCGAACAAGUUUUGGGCUUUUGGUGGUAAUGUGGUGGCUAUGGAUAAGGACUCGUGUGGAGUGGGGUUCGUGGCGGAACUAUCCGGGGAAAGUAGCCGCAAAACGGUGAUUGAUGCUUUGAAGAUGCUGGUGCGCAUGACGCACAGAGGUGCUUACGGUGUGAAGCCAACACUGGAGAUGGAGUAGGGAUCAUGGUGGCUUUACCUCACCAAUUUUACAAGGAGGGUAGCAGAAGCUCUUGAUGCUAAUGUUAAAAGGUGGUCAAGUCUGAAAAAGGAAACUUGAGGGUGUUACCAAGAAAAUUACUAUAUGAACAUUACAUCAAACAUAUAGUGAAGGAAGGAGCUCUUCACUUUCUUUGUAUUGUAGUGUCCUUUCUUAAGUGCUUUGAUUUUGGAGGAUAUUUAAUCUCCAUUUAUCUAUACCUGUUCUAUCCUUAGUCCUUUAUUUUUUUUUCAUUAUUUAAAAAAAUCUUCAAGUUAAGCAGCAUUUACAUAUAUGUUGUUUGAUUCUUUUCAGUACAUAAAUAUGAGAAAUCAGAGGGUAUCAUUCUCUUGAAAAGGAGGUUUACAACCCCUAAUUGGGUUAAGGUCGAUCUGUUAUAUACCCUUUUUUCAAACAUAUAAGACUGAUGAUCGGUUGUCUUUGAAAGAGCUUGAAUCUCUGAAGUUUUUCCUUUGCUUUACAUAGCAUAAGGAACCAAGAGAAGUUCAUAUAUUUGUUGAUCUAUUUCUUCAAGAGGUUGGUAUAUCUGUAUAUUUAAAUCAGUCAUUCUUUUUUGUGUCUUUUCAGUUGUAUUGAAUUGUUUAAGCAUUGUGAUUGAGUAUUAGUCUUAUUAAAUGUUGCUAAUCUGGAAUAUAAUUGUAUCAUAUUUGAUGAAAAUAUAUGGUAAUUGAUUGAAGCAACAACAACAAUAAAAGCCUUAUUCCACUAAGUGGGGUUGACUAUAUUAAUCAUGUGACACCAUUGUUAAAAACCAAAUUUUAAUUGAAGCAAAUUGGAGGAAAAUUUUUAUUUCCAUUAUUUUAUUUCCAACUUGAAAUUAUAGUUAACAAAGUGAAGCAGGUUUUGCCUCAAGGUAGACGUAAGCACUACAUGAUAGUAAUGGAAGUAGUCCUUCAUCAAGGAGCAAUCCCUUGCGGGAGGAGAAACUGGGUAGGUUAAAUACUCAAAGGGCAAGGAGCCAACUUUUGGAAACGCAUCUUGCAAAAUUGUUUAAGCAGAAAGUUGAAAUUUUCACAAAAGUAGAAUAUACACAGGUAUGUCUGAUUAUUAUAUUGGUGAUUUAAAUUUAAAUGAUUCUUUGAGAGCUGUGAUAUCAUUUUCCUUACGAAUGGCAGAAGUCUGUUGUUACAAUUAUAGUUAAAUUGGGUCUUAAAAGUUUACAAGAAUUUGUCCUCUUUAGAUGAUAAAUGAGUACAAUCAUUUGUAUUCUUGUAGGAGGAUUCCUCAAUUCAAAGAACACUUUGGCUGCUUAAACCAUCUCUAUUAGAGAAUGAUAUGCAAAUUAACAAGUAAUUUUUUUUCUAUUCAUUAGA